UACGUAGUGGGCAAGCGUUAUCCGGAUUUACUGGGUGUAAAGGGAGCGUAGACGGCCAUUCAAGCCAGAUGUGAAAGCCCGGGGCUCAACCCCGGGACUGCAUUUGGAACUGUAUGGCUGGAGUGUCGGAGAGGCAGGCGGAAUUCCUAGUGUAGCGGUGAAAUGCGUAGAUAUUAGGAGGAACACCAGUGGCGAAGGCGGCCUGCUGGACGAUGACUGACGUUGAGGCUCGAAAGCGUGGGGAGCAAACAGG
This 253-nucleotide ribosomal RNA is filed under the name uncultured bacterium. RNAcentral's name for it is "partial 16S ribosomal RNA". It matches the Rfam family "Bacterial small subunit ribosomal RNA", at positions 524 to 776 of the family's 1533-position model. The record is from RNAcentral.